This is an RNA transcript of Vitis vinifera (wine grape), 2422 nucleotides long. It is a transcript of the gene named cullin-1, with no coding region annotated. The transcript has 5 exons. The record is from RefSeq and is a predicted model, not a curated record. NCBI's taxonomy places the organism in Eukaryota, Viridiplantae, Streptophyta, Magnoliopsida, Vitales, Vitaceae.
UUAAUUCAUUUACCAUCUUUUACCAAGAGAAAAAGAUGCACGAGAGGGUCGUUGCUAAACGUUUCCGAACUGGUAGGAUUGGACUGCUCUUGGAACGAUCACAGCCUUAUCACUUGUAGUCAACAGCAUGACCAAGAAAGUUCAGCAGUGUUGCUGAAACAAAGAAAUUUCCCAAGAGUUGCCGAGAAAAUUCCGCGAAGAAAAAGAGGAAGAACCCAUCAACUCUGGGAAAGAAGUGGCUCAAGAAAUUUCUACUGCCAGUAAUAUUUUGCUGGUUCUUCAGGGGAAAUUCAAAAAGUUCAGUUGAGGAAGUGGGCAUAUGAUGGCAAAUGAUGCAGUUCAAGAGGGGAUUGACAGGGUUAUUGACCAGAACAUCACUUCUGAGGACCACAUGCGUUAUUACACGUAUCCUCUUCAUCUUUCCUGCAAUGGGGUUUCUCUAAAUUUUUCUUUGAUCCUUUAAUUUGCACUGUUUUAUGUCUAUUUGAAUGAUUUCUGUAAUGGGUUUCUCUAGCUUCUGUUAUAAUCGUUUGGAUUAGCUUAGAAUCUAUUUUCCCUGCCUGGUUGGCUAGGGCUCUGAUUGUUUACCAAGAAAGGAAAAGUAGAGGAUAAUAAAAUCAAGAUUGAAUCCUUCUAAUUUUUUCCUUCUUUUUAUUUAUUUAUUUAUUUUCCUAUUUUUUUUCUCUCUUUUUACCUGGUUCAAAUGGGAUUGCUCUGAAUUUUUAUAUUAUGCCUAGCUGAAUAAGAAUAGCUUAACUGCAAUGGAUUUAUUUGCAUUUUGCCUGAUUAUUCAAUUCAGCUUUGUUAUCUGUUGUGGUUGUGAUAUGGACUUGUGUAGCCUUAAGUUAGCUGGGUAGAACAUCUGUUUCCCCAGCAACCUCCAUGAAAGUCAGCAAUUAUAUGACCAAUAUAAGAAGGUUUUUGAAGAGUACAUCAACUCCAAGAAGAUGAGCUUUAUGUUACAAGAACUAGCAAGAAGGUGGUCAAACCACAAUCGCUUGGGAGAUUCUUUCAUUAUCUUGAUAGAUACCUCACUGUCUUGAGGAGGCUUCCUUCACUCAAAGAAACUAGCUUCAGCUGCUUCUAUGAACUGGUGUUCAGCGAGGUGAAUGAUAAAGUGAGGAAUGCCAUUUUUUCUAUGGUAAGACCAUGUCUCAUUUGGAGUACAUUCAGGCUCAUAUUGACCAUGAAAGUAGUGUAUUUGUUUUUCUCAGUAUUUAAACUAUUUGAGGUUUUUGAUAGGCCUCCUAUACGUUGUGUAUAAUAGAAAAGGGAAGAGGAAUAUACUGCCACCUGGCAGUUAGUUGUAACAGCUUUAGUGUAGGUUAGGUCACAGUUGGAUACGGGCUGGGGGAUGGUUUAAAUAGGAAAAGAGGGGGAAUUACAGAGGGGGAAAUAUUGUGGAUCUGGUUGGAGAGUGAUAGCCUCUCGAAUAGCUAUCUGAGGACCAGUUGGGACUCUUGUUUCUUGAAAUUCUUGAAAUUCAAUAAUAAUUCUCCAUUAGAUACCUAUCAGUUUUCAAGUACCACAUUUCUGUAAAAUCAUCAGAUCCUUGUGAUUUGCUCAAAAUUUCCUCCAUUUUUAUAUGUAAUCUUCGUUCAUUCGGUUCUCUUGGGGUGCUUAUUUGCUUUCAUCUGUCCUGCUAGACAAUACCUUCUUGAGGUUUCUAACUUAGUGAUUUCCCCUCGAGGAAAAAAACCACCUCCAUAAGACAUACUGAACUUGGCUUGGAUUUCUUCUAUAACAAAGCAGAUAAUAAGGAUUGAGCUAAAUGCUAACCUUUGACCUAAGGUUAUUGUGAUUGGAGUUAUCCUUGCUUGUCCUGUGAUUGUUCUCUUGCUAAUUACAGUUUGAUCAUGUUGGAGAUGCGAUCUUCCAGAUUGAUCGGGAGUGGGAGAGUGAGCAGAUUGAUCAAGCCCUAGUGAAGAAUGUUAUAGACUUAUACAUGGAGAUGGGAAUGGGGUCUGUGGAAUUUUAUGAGAAAGACUUUGAACAAGCCAUGCUUGAAGAGGCCACUGCAUUCCAUUCCCAGAAAACCUCAAACUGGAUUACAAGCUAGGCCUAUGAGAAUUACAUGCUCAAGGCCCAUGGAUGCUUGAAACACGAAAGAGACAGAGUUUCUUACUACUUGCCAGGAAGAAGCCACAAGAAAUUGUUCCAGGCUGUGGAAUAUGAGUUGCUCUCUGCACAUGCUACUGAACUGCAAGAAAAGAAGGUGGGUGAUGGCAAAACUCCACCCCAACAGGUAGGUAUCAUAUAAGCCUCGUCAAAAUUUCCCUUCUUCUUCUUGGAUGUGGGAUAUCAUAGCUGCUAGCCUGCAACUGCUGCUGUUGUACUAUUGGAGAUGUUGAAAUGGAUGAUACCAGCAAACAAGGGUUCUUUGAUCAGAAAAUACAAUGCUUUCACCAUGUUGUUGCUAAAA